Molecule: long non-coding RNA, 1024 nt
Filed under: Pogona vitticeps (central bearded dragon)
Lineage: Eukaryota; Metazoa; Chordata; Lepidosauria; Squamata; Agamidae
Description: lncRNA (ENSPVIG00000017690.1)
Source: RNAcentral
AAAAAUAUUUCCAAGAUGAUUUUAUUGAGCCCAUGAAGAUGCCUUCUCUUAGGCGCUAUAAACCCAGGCCCGAGAAACCAAUGACAACCAGGAUUCAGCCCCGUGUCUUCACCUUUAAAAGAAAGAGCCAUGACAAUGCCUAUGGGAAGUGCCCCCAAAAGAUUCAAGGCUGGCGAAGGGUCAGGAAGCAACAAUCCACUGAACCCUCAGGAAUUGAAGGGUGCCAAGGCUGGUGAAGGGCCAGGCAACAAGAAUCCAGCCAACCCUCAGGUGGUGAAGGGUAGGAAAAAGCAAGGGGUGUCUGAAAAUGCCAUCUGCUCAGGCGCUGUAGUCCCUAUGGGGGGGCUUCUGUAAAUAGCCCAACAACUGUUGAAUAGUUUUAAAAAACUGAAAUGAUUGUUAACAUGAUCACUAUUGCUAAAGAAUGGGAAAAGAGACUGGAGCGGAUAGUGGGAGACUUGCCUGAUAGGGAAACAAUCUGUGAAAUGAUUUUUAAAAUUGAUCAUUUUUCUUGUGCAAAGUCAUCUCGAAUCCAAACAAGUCUGGGCUACCCUGAUGUAAAACCUCCACCCAAAAGAGGUAAAAUGAAAAGGGGGAGACCCAGCCAGCAGUCUGGAAAAAAGGGGGAAAAGCCUAUCACAGGGAAGCUUUACUGGCGCAAAAGAGCUGUUAAAUUGUUACACAAGCUAUAGCCGCCUUGCAUGACGCAAUGCAGCAAGUCCUUGAUGGUGUUAAUGAAAGCCUCGAAACUGGGGACUUUGUGCAGCUGAGAUUUGAGGGCAGGAAAUGAGGGUGCCUUUGUUUUCAGUGAAGAAAGUUAAAGGGGAGCUGGAUGCUGAGGAAUUCCUCUCUAAUCUGAGCAACUUGUUACAGAACAACAUGGAACUGUGCCUCGAGGGCACUUUGCGAUUGGUUGUAACUACUAUGAAACCUCCCCAUGGGGGCAGUGAUACUUCAAGAGCCUUGUGCUCUAUCCCUCAUAGUGAAAUUAUAAAUAAAAAGGAAAUAUCUAGUAGAUUAACCA